UGCGCAAACACUGGUUCCCGUUCGAUCACCAAAGUUCAGCACUGUCGGGCCCGGUUAGUACUCAAAUAGGGUACCGCUGGGAACACCAGCUACUG
This is a non-coding RNA of Acanthosepion pharaonis, 95 nucleotides long. NCBI's taxonomy places the organism in Eukaryota, Metazoa, Mollusca, Cephalopoda, Sepiida, Sepiidae. The record is from the annotation of a GenBank genome assembly.